This 301-nucleotide ribosomal RNA is filed under the name uncultured bacterium. RNAcentral's name for it is "partial 16S ribosomal RNA". It matches the Rfam family "Bacterial small subunit ribosomal RNA", at positions 509 to 807 of the family's 1533-position model. The record is from RNAcentral.
CAGUAGCCGCGGGAAAACGAAGGGUGCAAGCGUUACUCGGAAUUACUGGGCGUAAAGCGUGUGUAGGUGGUUGUUUAAGUCUGUCGUGAAAGCCCUGGGCUCAACCUGGGAAUUGCGAUGGAUACUGGGCGACUAGAGUGCGGUAGAGGAUAGUGGAAUUUCCGGUGUAGCAGUGAAAUGCGUAGAGAUCGGAAGGAACAUCUGUGGCGAAGGCGACUAUCUGGGCCAACACUGACACUGAGACACGAAAGCGUGGGGAGCAAACAGGAUUAGAUACCCCAGUAGUCCCUGUCUCUUAUAC